This 1346-nucleotide ribosomal RNA is filed under the name uncultured bacterium. RNAcentral's name for it is "partial 16S ribosomal RNA". It matches the Rfam family "Bacterial small subunit ribosomal RNA", at positions 28 to 1381 of the family's 1533-position model. The record is from RNAcentral.
GACGAACGCUGGCGGCGUGCUUAACACAUGCAAGUCGAGCGGAAAGGCCCUGCUUUUGUGGGGUGCUCGAGUGGCGAACGGGUGAGUAACACGUGAGUAACCUGCCCUUGACUUUGGGAUAACUUCAGGAAACUGGGGCUAAUACCGGAUAGGAGCUCCUGCUGCAUGGUGGGGGUUGGAAAGUUUCGGCGGCUGGGGAUGGACUCGCGGCUUAUCAGCUUGUUGGUGGGGUAGUGGCUUACCAAGGCUUUGACGGGUAGCCGGCCUGAGAGGGUGACCGGCCACAUUGGGACUGAGAUACGGCCCAGACUCCUACGGGAGGCAGCAGUGGGGAAUAUUGCACAAUGGGCGGAAGCCUGAUGCAGCAACGCCGCGUGCGGGAUGACGGCCUUCGGGUUGUAAACCGCUUUCGCCUGUGACGAAGCGUGAGUGACGGUAAUGGGUAAAGAAGCACCGGCUAACUACGUGCCAGCAGCCGCGGUGAUACGUAGGGUGCGAGCGUUGUCCGGAUUUAUUGGGCGUAAAGGGCUCGUAGGUGGUUGAUCGCGUCGGAAGUGUAAUCUUGGGGCUUAACCCUGAGCGUGCUUUCGAUACGGGUUGACUUGAGGAAGGUAGGGGAGAAUGGAAUUCCUGGUGGAGCGGUGGAAUGCGCAGAUAUCAGGAGGAACACCAGUGGCGAAGGCGGUUCUCUGGGCCUUUCCUGACGCUGAGGAGCGAAAGCGUGGGGAGCGAACAGGCUUAGAUACCCUGGUAGUCCACGCUGUAAACGGUGGGUACUAGGUGUGGGGUCCAUUCCACGGGUUCCGUGCCGUAGCUAACGCUUUAAGUACCCCGCCUGGGGAGUACGGCCGCAAGGCUAAAACUCAAAGGAAUUGACGGGGCCCCGCACAAGCGGCGGAGCAUGCGGAUUAAUUCGAUGCAACGCGUAGAACCUUACCUGGGUUUGACAUGGAUCGGGAGUGCUCAGAGAUGGGUGUGCCUCUUUUGGGGUCGGUUCACAGGUGGUGCAUGGCUGUCGUCAGCUCGUGUCGUGAGAUGUUGGGUUAAGUCCCGCAACGAGCGCAACCCUUGUUCACUGUUGCCAGCACGUUAUGGUGGGGACUCAGUGGAGACCGCCGGGGUCAACUCGGAGGAAGGUGGGGAUGACGUCAAGUCAUCAUGCCCCUUAUGUCCAGGGCUUCACGCAUGCUACAAUGGCUGGUACAGAGAGUGGCGAGCCUGUGAGGGUGAGCGAAUCUCGGAAAGCCGGUCUCAGUUCGGAUUGGGGUCUGCAACUCGACCUCAUGAAGUCGGAGUCGCUAGUAAUCGCAGAUCAGCAACGCUGCGGUGAAUACGUUCCCGGGGCU